This is a long non-coding RNA of Mesocricetus auratus (golden hamster), 563 nucleotides long. RefSeq lists it as uncharacterized. NCBI's taxonomy places the organism in Eukaryota, Metazoa, Chordata, Mammalia, Rodentia, Cricetidae. The record is from RefSeq and is a predicted model, not a curated record. The transcript has 2 exons.
UGGUUUCUCUGUAUGUCUUUGGAGCCUGUUCUGGAACUUGAUCUGUAAAACAGACUGGAUUUGAACUCACAGUAAUGAGCCUGUCUGUGCCUUUCCUGUAUGCCUUAACAUUAUGAACAAAUUUCAUAUUAUAUGCACUGGACUACUAUUCCUCAUUUAUUGAUACUCAAGCAGCAUCAUUCUGCCGAGCAGUUGGAUGCACAGCUGGAUGAAGACAAUGCACAGAUGGACACCAGUUAAACAGCCGGGCAAAUCCACAGAAGUGACAGAACCCAGAAGCUUCGUCCUUAAUCUCUAGAGGGAGGGUUGGCAAUUGGACUGUGAAGACAAUGGUGGAUUUCUUUUUGUUUGUCUCUCUCUCUCUUUUUCCCUGUUUUAAAAUGGGAUCUAAAAUCUCAUGUAAAGGAUUUUUUUCUCUUUUUUUUUAAAUUCUGAAACAGACCUGUUUUGUACCGAGUUAUUUUGGCGAUCAGUUUUACUGGUUACUGUUGUGGAGAAGGAGGCAUGUUCACCUUUGCCAUAAUAAACUACAAUUGUCUGUAGGAAAGAAAAUAAAAAGAGAA